CUCUGGAUGAUGAAAGUUGCUCUGUGUUG
This 29-nucleotide non-coding RNA is filed under the name Homo sapiens (human). Lineage: Eukaryota; Metazoa; Chordata; Mammalia; Primates; Hominidae. The record is from RNAcentral.